RNAcentral lists this ribosomal RNA (468 nucleotides) under uncultured bacterium. RNAcentral's name for it is "partial 16S ribosomal RNA". It matches the Rfam family "Bacterial small subunit ribosomal RNA", at positions 28 to 507 of the family's 1533-position model. The record is from RNAcentral.
GACGAACGCUGGCGGCGUGCUUAACACAUGCAAGUCGAACGGAAAGACCCUGCUUUUGUGGGGUGCUCGAGUGGCGAACGGGUGAGUAACACGUGAGUAACCUGCCCUUGACUUUGGGAUAACUUCAGGAAACUGGGGCUAAUACCGGAUAGGAGCUCCUGCUGCAUGGUGGGGGUUGGAAAGUUUCGGCGGUUGGGGAUGGACUCGCGGCUUAUCAGCUUGUUGGUGGGGUAGUGGCUUACCAAGGCUUUGACGGGUAGCCGGCCUGAGAGGGUGACCGACCACAUUGGGACUGAGAUACGGCCCAGACUCCUACGGGAGGCAGCAGUGGGGAAUAUUGCACAAUGGGCGGAAGCCUGAUGCAGCAACGCCGCGUGCGGGAUGACGGCCUUCGGGUUGUAAACCGCUUUCGCCUGUGACGAAGCGUGAGUGACGGUAAUGGGUAAAGAAGCACCGGCUAACUACGUG